UUCGGCAAGCUACCUGUGCAUGUGAUUCCACUGCAACCUGACCCAUUCUCAGCCUCCUUCCAACACUCACCUCAAGAGAGACCUUCUAUACUGGAAAAAUGAAGUCUCACAAAAUCCAACAGGAGCUCCGAGGGGGAGGCACAUCCAAGCUCCACAGCUAAAGCCUGGCAAAAAGAAUGAGCUUCCCUGCUGCCUUGAAAAUGAUGGAUGUACACAGAGGCUUUACAGAACUUACAGCCCUAUGAUCCCCCAUGCUGUGCCCCGGAGCCCUGCACACAAGGAAUUAACCAGAUCAAAUAUUUUUGACCUUUUGAUGAGUGGAAAAUGUUGGGAUUUUUUUCUGUCAAUCCUUAGACCUGAGAAAAAAGUUGAGGUCAUAUCCAGCAGGGAGCAUGCUUUCUAUGUGGCAGAAGUAAAAAACCAAUUUUGCAAAGCUUGGAGUUGAAGCUCUUGAAGAUGCCUGCCAUUAGAAGAUGCAAGGCUGAGGUUAUGUAAGUGUGCUGGCCAAAUCCAGUUGUUCCAGGAAGUCCAACAACAGCUACUCUGCUCUGCUCCUAACCCUCCUCUGUAAAGGGUACCAGAACAGAAAGGUAAAGAAGGAUGGAUAUUUGCCCUUGAUGACACUUGAGUGCUUUGACAGUGACAUAACACUUCACAGGCAUCUCUAUUUUAUAUAUUGAAGAGAGACAGCUCAUCAGAUACACAAACUAUAAAUCUAAACUGUAAAUUCUUCCUAUCCAGAUGUCUGUUACACUCACCCCAAAAAAAUUAUAUGAAAAAAAAUAUUAUUUUUGUCCUCUUCUGUGCUUUUUACUUAUUAAAAUGUAAAAUUUGAGACAUUUGAUUGAGAUGUUAGAUUCUUAACACACUGAAUAUCUUUUGUUACAACAAAGUGAACUCCCUAAAAAUUUUAACUCAAAGCCAACAGGUAAGGUUCAGCUGGAAGGGACUCUGACAUUGACUCCCUGUAUAACCUUAAGGAAAUCUCUUUUUUCUUGUGUUCCUCCACUGGGAGCUAUUAGAGUCAAUUCAUUAAUGUGCACAAAUGUGAUUUAAGACCAUCAGACAGAAAAUAUUAAAGGAAAACCACUGUCAUCAUAGAUUUACAUUAAAUUAUCUUAAUAAACUGAAUACUAUGCUGUCUUUAGUUACAAAGUUAAAAAAAAGGUAGGCAGGCAGAGUCACACUAUCCUAUAACUAACAGGGCAGGGAGAUCUGUGACAGGAGAUGGACAGUUUCACAACAACUAAAACUUCAGAGGCUUUCUGCAAAACUACAGGUGAAAGCAAUGACAUGUUUCAUUUAGAGGCUUCCUAAUACUGUUUGUCUGGGAAAAAAAAAAACACAAACAAACCAAAAACCAGAAGAGAAAGAAGGUAGCAAUUACUAUUGGGGAAAAUAUAAAAGAUGACUGCUGUGUGUGUGUCAGGCAUUGGGGAAAAUUACUACUUUGUCUUUAGCAGAGAGAUGACAUUAUCCCUGCAGCCAAACAGAAGCUACACUGUAAAUGCAAAGUUCAGAUAUAUUCAACAAGAAGAGGUGAGAAAUCCAGCUGGAUUAGAAACAGAGCCAUUCCCAAGCUAAUUUGGAUAAAGAAGUUUUGCUAACAGUCUAGGCUGCAUACAGCAGUUUACUAGUCACUUAGAAGAGGUGGUGGUACCAUCCCCAUUUUGGAAGCUCUAGCAGGUUGGUGAUGGGAACCACCCAGGAUGACGAUGGGAAGCUGAGUGGUCACAAGCACAAGAGAGAUAGUUGGCACUGGGCUUUUUGCAUGUAUUUAAAUGAAUGAUAGCCCUGUGCUGCCAAAUGGAGAGACUGUACUUUCCUGUUUGGGAAUAGAUUCCAGGAUUGGAAUGGUCUACAAUGACCCAGUAGGCAUAUCCCAAAUAAAAUGAUGGCUUAUUGGGUAUGUGAGCUUUUCACAUUUAUGCCUGGAUUUCUCUAUAUGACUGCUGGCUUGGAGGGAAAGACC
Molecule: long non-coding RNA, 1972 nt
Organism: Lepidothrix coronata (blue-crowned manakin)
Lineage: Eukaryota; Metazoa; Chordata; Aves; Passeriformes; Pipridae
Exons: 6
Source: RefSeq, a predicted model, not a curated record